CCUACGGGCGGCUGCAGUGGGGAAUAUUGCACAAUGGGGGAAACCCUGAUGCAGCACCGCCGCGUGAAGGAAGACGGUUUUCGGAUUGUAAACUUCUAUCAAUAGGGAAGAAAGAAAUGACGGUACCUAAAUAAGAAGCCCCGGCUAACUACGUGCCAGAAGCCGCGGUAAUACGUAGGGGGCAAGCGUUAUCCGGAAUUACUGGGUGUAAAGGGAGAGUAGGCGGCAAGGUAAGCGAUAUGUGAAAGCCUUAAGCUUAACUUAAAGAUGGCAUAACGAAGUAUCUAGCUAGUGUACAGGAGAGGAAAGCGGAAUUCCUAGUGUAGCGGUGAAAUGCGUAGAUAUUAGGAAGAACACCAGUGGCGAAGGCGGCGUUCUGGACUGAAACUGACGCUGAGGCUCGAAAGCGUGGGGAGCGAACAGGAUUAGAUACCCUUGUAGUC
This 443-nucleotide ribosomal RNA is filed under the name uncultured bacterium. Its description in RNAcentral is "partial 16S ribosomal RNA". It matches the Rfam family "Bacterial small subunit ribosomal RNA", at positions 338 to 795 of the family's 1533-position model. The record is from RNAcentral.